This 1384-nucleotide ribosomal RNA is filed under the name Lactococcus sp. 56. RNAcentral describes it as "bacterial SSU rRNA". It matches the Rfam family "Bacterial small subunit ribosomal RNA", at positions 72 to 1443 of the family's 1533-position model. Lineage: Bacteria; Bacillati; Bacillota; Bacilli; Lactobacillales; Streptococcaceae. The record is from RNAcentral.
GUUGGUACUUGUACCGACUGGAUGAGCAGCGAACGGGUGAGUAACGCGUGGGGAAUCUGCCUUUGAGCGGGGGACAACAUUUGGAAACGAAUGCUAAUACCGCAUAAAAACUUUAAACACAAGUUUUAAGUUUGAAAGAUGCAAUUGCAUCACUCAAAGAUGAUCCCGCGUUGUAUUAGCUAGUUGGUGAGGUAAAGGCUCACCAAGGCGAUGAUACAUAGCCGACCUGAGAGGGUGAUCGGCCACAUUGGGACUGAGACACGGCCCAAACUCCUACGGGAGGCAGCAGUAGGGAAUCUUCGGCAAUGGACGAAAGUCUGACCGAGCAACGCCGCGUGAGUGAAGAAGGUUUUCGGAUCGUAAAACUCUGUUGGUAGAGAAGAACGUUGGUGAGAGUGGAAAGCUCAUCAAGUGACGGUAACUACCCAGAAAGGGACGGCUAACUACGUGCCAGCAGCCGCGGUAAUACGUAGGUCCCGAGCGUUGUCCGGAUUUAUUGGGCGUAAAGCGAGCGCAGGUGGUUUAUUAAGUCUGGUGUAAAAGGCAGUGGCUCAACCAUUGUAUGCAUUGGAAACUGGUAGACUUGAGUGCAGGAGAGGAGAGUGGAAUUCCAUGUGUAGCGGUGAAAUGCGUAGAUAUAUGGAGGAACACCGGUGGCGAAAGCGGCUCUCUGGCCUGUAACUGACACUGAGGCUCGAAAGCGUGGGGGAGCAAACAGGAUUAGAUACCCUGGUAGUCCACGCCGUAAACGAUGAGUGCUAGAUGUAGGGAGCUAUAAGUUCUCUGUAUCGCAGCUAACGCAAUAAGCACUCCGCCUGGGGAGUACGACCGCAAGGUUGAAACUCAAAGGAAUUGACGGGGGCCCGCACAAGCGGUGGAGCAUGUGGUUUAAUUCGAAGCAACGCGAAGAACCUUACCAGGUCUUGACAUACUCGUGCUAUUCCUAGAGAUAGGAAGUUCCUUCGGGACACGGGAUACAGGUGGUGCAUGGUUGUCGUCAGCUCGUGUCGUGAGAUGUUGGGUUAAGUCCCGCAACGAGCGCAACCCCUAUUGUUAGUUGCCAUCAUUAAGUUGGGCACUCUAACGAGACUGCCGGUGAUAAACCGGAGGAAGGUGGGGAUGACGUCAAAUCAUCAUGCCCCUUAUGACCUGGGCUACACACGUGCUACAAUGGAUGGUACAACGAGUCGCGAGACAGUGAUGUUUAGCUAAUCUCUUAAAACCAUUCUCAGUUCGGAUUGUAGGCUGCAACUCGCCUACAUGAAGUCGGAAUCGCUAGUAAUCGCGGAUCAGCACGCCGCGGUGAAUACGUUCCCGGGCCUUGUACACACCGCCCGUCACACCACGGGAGUUGGGAGUACCCGAAGUAGGUUGCCUAACCGCA